Long non-coding RNA from Talpa occidentalis (Iberian mole), 862 nucleotides. RefSeq lists it as uncharacterized. Lineage: Eukaryota; Metazoa; Chordata; Mammalia; Eulipotyphla; Talpidae. The record is from RefSeq and is a predicted model, not a curated record. The transcript is spliced from 3 exons.
UUCAGUAUCAUUGAGCACUAACUGAAGACACUCUGAGAGGUGAUUUCCUCAUAGUCUACCCUAUUUUACUUAUGAGGAAAUUAAGCUUCCAACUAAGGGGGCUAGGAUCAAACCCAACACUGAUUUCCACAGUCAACCUUUUCCAAGAGGACAACGUGAUUAUCACCCAUUAUCAUAGCUAGCUCAAUACUGAAGAUAGAGGAGGCGCAUGGCAUCCAUGGAAGCACGAGUUUCUGGUUUUCAUCUGUUUUAGAUGCAGGCAAGUUGGCCCCUCCACUGACUGACCACUGCAACCCCAGGGCACGGGGUUCAGUUAGUGGGCUUCAUGAGAACUUUGCUUUUUCAUUCAGCUACUUUUCCUGAAAGAAGAGUUGAAGACAGGACUACAUGCUCCUUGGAGGCGAACAGUCAGGACUGAGUUUUGGAUCCACACAGGUGAUGAGUUUUGAUGAUACCACAUGUCAACUCAGUGACUGACUGAAGCCAGAUCCCCUGACAUUUGAUGGCAGUGAAGCUUUUUGAAAGGGUUGGCUAUGAAAAAAAAGAGUGGAUGUGGGAUAUGAGAAUAAUGGUGAUGGUUGAAAGUCUAUCUAGGGGGGCCUUUCUGGUGGUGCAAAGAGUUAAGAUGCAACACUAUGAAGCAAUCCGCAGCCACUGCAGCAUGAGUUUGAUCCCUGGCCAGGGAGCUACCCACAUGGUGCAGCAGACCUCUCCUGACUCACCCACUGCUCCCCUCAGCAGUGUGUUUCAGUAGAUCCACCUGUUCUGCUCCCCACUCUGUCUCUGGUGAAUCCUCUCACCCCCUGCACCUCUGAUCUGUACCCCAUCUCUUGUAUGCAUAAAUAAAUAAAUCUUUAAAAAA